Molecule: long non-coding RNA, 2461 nt
Filed under: Helianthus annuus (common sunflower)
Lineage: Eukaryota; Viridiplantae; Streptophyta; Magnoliopsida; Asterales; Asteraceae
Description: hypothetical non coding rna
Source: RNAcentral
UUUUAUAAUCUCUGCUCAAAAACCCUCAUCCCAAACACUAUGAUCCUCUACAAUUUUGAAGAACACGAAUCUAGGGCUUCAAUCUUCUUUCAACCAAUUUGAACUCAAUUCUAAGCCGUUUGAGGUAUAUCUUGAGUCAAUUCCACUUCAUUUUUUAUGCUCUACAAAAGCCUUUUAUUAAUUCCUGUUAAUAGAAUGCAAUUGUAGUUCGUUUAAAUUUUCAUGAGUUCUAGGGUUCAUAAGCAUUUGGGGAUUUCUAUAUUUUACAAAACUGAAUCAAUUGAUUUGUUCUAUAGUGUUUCCAGACAUACGUUAAGAUGAAAUUUCAGUAGUAUUCAUAUUAAUCAUGAUUACUUACUUUUAUAGAAAUUAUACUUGUCAUAAUCUAGUAUAUAUGCUUAUAUUUUGCGUACCAUGCUACAAAUACUUGAUAAAAAUGCUAGAUUAGUAGAACUAUUGAAUUUUCAUAAUAUUAAUUAGAAUUUUUAUAUGAUUUUUACUAAUUUAAUUUUAGCUCAUCAUGUUAAUUUAUAUUUCAUGCAAAAUAUAUAAUUUGUUCGAAAUCUAUAUCAUAAUAAUCCAGAAAUUUUGCCUUUAACUACAGACCUUUUGGACACGAUGUUUUGAUCAUAAGUUUAGUCAAAUUGGUUUUUGUACUAUAAACAGAUUGGCUAAAAUGGUUAAAUUAGACAUAAGUAUAUUUUUGGUUAAAUUGGACUAUAAGUAUACAAUUAUGUUUUGCAUGUUGUACAUGUAGCUUAAAAAGUAGUAAAAUGGGUGAAAUUGUGUGAUUUAUGUGUCUUAUGUGAGACCUGCACUGUCAUGAGUAUAACCACCAUUUUAAUCAGUAAAUAACAUGUGUUAUGUUAAAAUAUCAAGUCGUGAUGAUUUGGGAUGAUUACGGUAAAGUUCGGUACAAAACUAUGCGUUAAAACGGUAAAAAUCGACUUUUAAAGUGAUUUUUCGAAACUGUUUUAAAUCUGAUUAUAAACUAAUAUUUUUAUAAUAAAUGUAAUUAUUUUAACUUAUAUUAAGUAUCUUUGGUGUUCGGUUGGUCAUACAUGACUUCCGACGCCCGGAAACGCUACCAAAACGGUAAAAUACGCAUAUUUCAACGUACGCGAAAACGAGAUGUUCAAAGGUGAACUUUGUGUGUUAUAAGUUGAUAUAUGAAUAUGAAUAUGUGUGAUUUGGUUUGUUAAGUAAUUACAUGUUAAUAAGGAUUGAUGCUAUAUUUAGGCGUUUGUGCGGUUAAAACGGUAAACUAGAUAAAAAAUCACGUUAUGUGUGUAAAUUGUGAUGAACAUGAAAAAUAAUGCUUAAAUUAACUUGAUGAGUUAUUAGACAUAUUAAGUGUUUAAGUAUAAUAUAUGUGUAAAAUGACGUAAUAUGUGAAUUACGAUAUAUGUCGAAUAUGUCCAUAUUUAUGCACAUAUAUUACGAAGCACAAAUCUUAGAUAUAUUGCGAAUAAGUAGGCAUAAUCUAUAAUACUAUAUAAUACAUCUCCUCUGUACUUGAUGGUAAUUUCCUUUGAAAUUUCUAAGACGGCAGACGAAGAGUCAUGUCUUUUUCCCUAUUCUUUCAUCCUCUUCUCCCAAUUUUGCCCCCCAAUUCAAUGUAUUACGCCCACCAUGAAGUCUACACAUGAACAACAGUGCUAAGAUGACUCAAAGCGUCACUGCAAUUACUAAUUCAAUCAAUUAGCUCUCAUCAUUGAAAUCAAUUUUUCACAAUGGACGAUUGGAUGGCUGCAACCCUAAUUCUCCCGGGUGAAGAAGACGAACCGUACAAACGAUCUUGACGGCGAUGCUGGAUGUGGAUGUCGGAGAAGGUGAACGAAAAUUGGUAAUUAUCGAUGGUGGCUAUAGGUGUAAAGGCGACGAUGAUGGUUGUGGUUUCAAGGUUCUGAUGAUGUUGUGGGUGUAACAAUAUCAACAGUGGUGGUUACAAAGGUGUUUACCAGUGAAGUUAUGAGGUGAAUGAUGGUGUUUCAUGGUGGUGAAGGUCACCGGAACAAGAACAAUAGUGAAGAUGAUGAUGGUGAUUGGUAUCUGGUUGUUGAGGUAUGUUUAAUUAUCUAGGGAUUCGGUUUUAGUUGUAUAUUAUUAGGUUAAUAAUCAGAUCAUAGCGUUGUGAGUUUUCUGGCGAAGUUGAUGGUCACCGGCGUAUACGGUUUCUGGCCGCCCAACAGUGAUGUAUUUCUUGUUGGUUAAAUGUGAUGGUUGUUUGUGGUAUUGAUGGAGAUGAUGUUGAUGGUUGUUGAUGGUGCUCCCCGGACCCAGAUGAAUGGGUUACGCGACAUUUAAGGUGUUGUUGAAUGAUGUUGAUCGCUAGGAUGCAUGCUCACAUAGGACUGGACGAGGCCUUAGUGACUUAAAAACAAUGAUAGACUAUGUAUAACUUGUUUAUUUAGAUUUCAAGACGAUGUAAAUAUUUAAUGUUUAAUAAAACGAAACUUCA